CCUUCACUUGCACAUGGGCUCCACCAAGGUGCUCCAGCAACUCACGCACGCACACGAUGGCCCAUUCCCGCACAUUCAAUUCACGCGGACCAAAUUCAGCACAUGGACCAAGCUCUCGCGGGCCCGCUUAUGGCCAGCCGUCCCUGCACAUGGCCCGCACACCUCAUCAAUUCACACCUUCCACGGACAGCCCAAGCGCUUCACGCAAUCCCAGCUUCACGUGGACACUCGCGCACUCGAUCCACUCCCAGGCGAGCAAUUUUCCUAAACAGCAGGUUCCUCUGCACCUAUUUAAAGGCUCUUCAGUGGACGAAAAAAGAGGACAUCAAAUCUCUUCCAUUCGGCAAUUCCGCAAGCUCCACCGCCUUCGGUUCUUCUUUCUUUUCUUUUCCUUUUU
Molecule: long non-coding RNA, 397 nt
Filed under: Manihot esculenta (cassava)
Lineage: Eukaryota; Viridiplantae; Streptophyta; Magnoliopsida; Malpighiales; Euphorbiaceae
Description: long non-coding RNA (MESC_LNC007224)
Source: RNAcentral